CAUGCAAGUCGAGCGGAAACGAAGAGUAGCUUGCUACUCUGGCGUCGAGCGGCGGACGGGUGAGUAAUGCUUGGGAACAUGCCUUGAGGUGGGGGACAACAGUUGGAAAUGACUGCUAAUACCGCAUAAUGUCUACGGACCAAAGGGGGCUUCGGCUCUCGCCUUUAGAUUGGCCCAAGUGGGAUUAGCUAGUUGGUGAGGUAAUGGCUCACCAAGGCGACGAUCCCUAGCUGGUUUGAGAGGAUGAUCAGCCACACUGGGACUGAGACACGGCCCAGACUCCUACGGGAGGCAGCAGUGGGGAAUAUUGCACAAUGGGCGCAAGCCUGAUGCAGCCAUGCCGCGUGUGUGAAGAAGGCCUUCGGGUUGUAAAGCACUUUCAGUCAGGAGGAAAGGUUAGUAGUUAAUACCUGCUAGUUGUGACGUUACUGACAGAAGAAGCACCGGCUAACUCCGUGCCAGCAGCCGCGGUAAUACGGAGGGUGCGAGCGUUAAUCGGAAUUACUGGGCGUAAAGCGUACGCAGGCGGUUUGUUAAGCGAGAUGUGAAAGCCCCGGGCUCAACCUGGGAACUGCAUUUCGAACUGGCAAACUAGAGUGUGAUAGAGAGUGGUAGAAUUUCAGGUGUAGCGGUGAAAUGCGUAGAGAUCUGAAGGAAUACCGAUGGCGAAGGCAGCCACCUGGGUCAACACUGACG
Molecule: ribosomal RNA, 696 nt
Filed under: uncultured bacterium
Lineage: Bacteria
Description: bacterial SSU rRNA
Rfam family: Bacterial small subunit ribosomal RNA
Source: RNAcentral